AGUAGAGAGCAGAGCUUGGAAUCUUUUCUGGCUAAAGGCAGGCUGAGGGGGACGCGGGCUUCCUGGAAGUUCCCCGACUUUGCUGAUGGGACUGUCCCCUGCUUGCUGCACAGCCACGGCGGGGCGGGAGCGGGGGCGGGGGCGGGGGGCAGGGGUGCGGCGGGCAGGGAGGUCCCCGCUAUUGUGGAGGGAGGAGAGUGACUGAUCGCAAGGCUCUGUGCUGGAUGCGGCAUCAUCCCCCAUGCAGGGUGGCCCUGGCUUCUACCGAAGGUGGCUGCUGAGAGCGCCCUGCAGGAAGGCCCCAGGGGCACCAGAGUCCCAGAGCAGCACCUCACUUCUCGGGAAUACCCCUUCCAGAAACCCUGAGGCCAGCCCAGCACUCCCACCUGCUGGCCCAGCAGCUCUCAGCGGCUUUCCUCCCUUGGGACAGAGACUGCUUACACUGCCGGGCUCAAAAACCUGCCCCGUGCCCCGGCCAGCCUCAUCCCCAGAUGUCACCCUGUGAUGACCUGGACUGCCCUCUCUGCAGUGGAAUCUUCACUAGGACCCUCUGUCUCAGCGUUUCCUAAUGAGCUCUUGCCCAGUCUUGCAUCCUCCCCGCGCAGCCUCAGAGGGGCGGAUCUUCCAGCAGAGCCAGCGGCUCCUGAGCUCAGCAGCCCCACCUGGGGUCCCUCCUCACUGGGAGGAAAGACCAUGGUUGUGUGAAUGGCCCCGCCGCCGCUCAGCCUUCAGCUCCUGUUCUCCAGCCUGGCUCCCAGAGGUCCAGGUCCACAGGCCUCCUGCACCCCCCUCCUCCCAUGGGGGCUGAAAGCACUUCCUGUUUUCAGAACUAGCCCUGGGUUCGUAAAACGUUUUCUGAUGUGAAAUCCUUGAAACCAGAAGGGCUAGGCAGCAAUUUUAUGGGAUCACUGAGAGAUGAGUCCAUCUAAAGUUGGCACAAACAGCUCCUAGCCCUACGGAGACUUUCUCAGGGGGUACAGGAGGGCUUGGCCAGGACCCAGCAGCUCGGUGGGCCUGGUGGCACCCACCCUAGCAAGUGAGAUCUCAGGUGGCCUCACUCCACCCAUCUGUCUGGGAGGGAGCCUGGGACUCUGAACCCCUAGCCACAAUAUCCUUCAAAGGCUGAGAGCUGGAGCCAGCUGCCCUUGGUGACGAAGUCAGGGGUCCAGGAACAAAACCGAGUGCUGAUGGGAGGUGAUAACUCAGCCUCAACUUCUUCCUCUCCAUGGGAAGAAAGAACAAGGGAAAGGAGGGUUCCUUUUGUGAAGCCCAAUAUUCUUCAUUUCAUGUUCCUUUUAAAACAUAUUUAAAACUGUCGCCACCCUCACCCUCACCCUCAUUUUCAUGAAGGGCAGGUCUUGCUAAGCGUAUCAUGAGCUGAUUAAGUUUGAGAGGACAGGAGCUGGGCACAGAUUGCUCUGCAAAAUAAAGGGGUGAAAAGUUGCAGGGGUGAACAUGUGUGAAGGUCGGAGGCAGGAGUGAGCCGUGGGGUGACAUGUAGGGGAUGAGAAUUCCCUCAGUCCCCCUCCCCAUUGCAGUUUAGGGAGGAUUUUCUGACACGGGCCUGUUGAGUAAGGAAUGUAGGUUUCGGGUUGUCUGGUGUGUGCCUGGUGAACCAUCUGUCUCCCCUGCACAAUCUUCAGAAAUGGCUACAGUGUGUCUGUGUGAGUGGACUGUCUCGGGAGCCUGUCGGCUGGCUGGGUGCCCCUGCAGGCUCACGGAGACGACACGGAAGAGCCGGGUGACACAUGGACAGGUGGGACUUGGGCUAUGCACAGAGGCAGGAGGGAAUGAAAGUGGGGGGCUUAAGAGGCUUAGGGGUGCAGGCCUCUGCUUUCAGGAGCCGCUGCACUGUGGGUUCCUCUCCAGGGCUUGGUCCCCACGUGGGAGCUUCCGCAGCCCAGUAUAAAUGCAGAGCAUGGGAGCUGUGGACCUUGACUUGAAGAGAAAGUGCAGGUCUUGAGAGAGGGGAACUGAAAAACCAAGAAGACAGCUGGUGAGAGAAGAGGAGAAAAGAGAAGACAAGGUGGCUGUCAGGGUGCAGCAGACAGCCAAGUUAAGAGUUAAGACAAAGAUGAGGAACAGGGUGAGGUCAGAAUCCAGGAGGGAGCUACUGAGGGCCAGGUCGGGGGUGACGGAUCCAAGGAAGGACAGCAAGGCCUUGAUAAGAUGCAGUGGACCCAGAGGAGAGGUGAGGCCAGCUGGCUCUGUACUGCUGAGCCGCAGGAUUUGGAGUUGCUGUCAACUUCGAGGCUGCUGUUAAACCAGGGGGCUGCCAAAUAUUUUCAAGCGGUGACCAGGCCAGGAGUCUGAAGACUAAGAAGCAUGCAUUCUGGAUGAAUUGAAAAUCGAUGAGAUAUAGAGGCUCAGAGAAGGAAUAUUAACCCAGCACCAAAGUCUCCUAGCUCUUCUGGGGCCAGGCCCGGGAAAGAGGUGAGAAUGGACAGUUGGCAGUGACUGCUGGCCCCAGUGACUCUUAUUUUCUUAGCCCCGAAUCACAUGUGUCAUCUGACCCACCGUUCCAGCACGUGUGGAACAUCCUGGACUCUUGGAUCUACUGCUGCAUCUUCUAGAGAGUGAGGUGUUCAGUUGCCCUCCUGAGAGCAGCGCCUCCCUCCCCACCCCGCUCAGCAGCCUGGCAUGAAGGCAGGGAAUGUGUACUGUACCCCCGGUGCCAGACGUGGGAGGCACCCAGAGUUGUGGAAUGAAUGAAUACAUUCACAGGCCCACAGGAGGAGUUCAAGAGCUCAAGUUGAGUUGAACAAGGACAUAACAUAAGCCCCCUGAACUGCUGCUAAUUCUCCCAGCAGAAGGAGAUGACUGUCGGAAACUAGGAGGUGCUUGGUGAUAAUGGAAUAAAGGUUUUCUCUCUGCAGGGCUGUCUGGACCACACAGGGGUCACACUUCGAUCUGAUCAUAACAUAGCUCCACCUGGACAAGCUGUUUCUCCCAACCCUCUUUCCAGCUUGAAUCACAUCAUUCCCUUUAAGAAUUUCCAUUCAUUUUAGUUUCCUGCUAAUUGACAUCUUCACUACAUAAAAUACUGGUAUAAAAAUACUGCGUACCAAGAUUUGAUACAACUAGCAAAUGUUCAUUGGUUUACAACAAACC
Molecule: long non-coding RNA, 3111 nt
Filed under: Homo sapiens (human)
Lineage: Eukaryota; Metazoa; Chordata; Mammalia; Primates; Hominidae
Description: HSALNT0404300
Source: RNAcentral